AUUGAACGCUGGCGGCAGGCCUAACACAUGCAAGUCGAGCGGAUGAAGGGAGCUUGCUCCUGGAUUCAGCGGCGGACGGGUGAGUAAUGCCUAGGAAUCUGCCUGGUAGUGGGGGAUAACGUCCUGAAACGGGCGCUAAUACCGCAUACGUCCUGAGGGAGAAAGUGGGGGAUCUUCGGACCUCACGCUAUCAGAUGAGCCUAGGUCGGAUUAGCUAGUUGGUGGGGUAAAGGCCUACCAAGGCGACGAUCCGUAACUGGUCUGAGAGGAUGAUCAGUCACACUGGAACUGAGACACGGUCCAGACUCCUACGGGAGGCAGCAGUGGGGAAUAUUGGACAAUGGGCGAAAGACUGAUCCAGCCAUGCCGCGUGUGUGAAGAAGGUCUUCGGAUUGUAAAGCACUUUAAGUUGGGAGGAAGGGCAGUAAGUUAAUACCUUGCUGUUUUGACGUUACCAACAGAAUAAGCACCGGCUAACUUCGUG
Molecule: ribosomal RNA, 484 nt
Filed under: uncultured bacterium
Lineage: Bacteria
Description: partial 16S ribosomal RNA
Rfam family: Bacterial small subunit ribosomal RNA
Source: RNAcentral